Molecule: microRNA precursor, 141 nt
Filed under: Xyrichtys novacula (pearly razorfish)
Lineage: Eukaryota; Metazoa; Chordata; Actinopteri; Labriformes; Labridae
Source: RNAcentral
GUCGUGGGGCUGCAGGAGCAGGCCAACCUAGAUUAUUUGUAGCUUCUUACUAAAAGAUAAUUACUCUAUAUUUCUUAACCUAAAUGUAGGUUAAGAAGCUACAAAAUAAUCUAGGUUGGCCUGCUCCUGCAGCCCCACGAC